Molecule: ribosomal RNA, 460 nt
Filed under: uncultured bacterium
Lineage: Bacteria
Description: partial 16S ribosomal RNA
Rfam family: Bacterial small subunit ribosomal RNA
Source: RNAcentral
CCUACGGGUGGCAGCAGUGAGGAAUAUUGGUCAAUGGGCGAAAGCCUGAACCAGCCAAGUAGCGUGCAGGAUGAAUGUCCUACGGAUUGUAAACUUCUUUUAUCAGGGAGUAAAGCCACUUACGUGUAGGUGUUGGCGUGUACCUGAUGAAAAAGCACCGGCUAAUUCCGUGCCAGCAGCCGCGGUAAUACGGAAGGUGCGGGCGUUAUCCGGAUUUAUUGGGUUUAAAGGGUGCGUAGGCGGGAUGUCAAGUUAGCUGUGAAAUCCUUGGGCUCAACCCCGUCCUAGCGGCGGAAACUGGUGAUCGUGAGUGGGCGGAAAGCAGGCGGAAUGCGUGGUGUAGCGGUGAAAUGCAUAGAUAUGACGAAGAACUCCGAUUGCGAAGGCAGCUUGCUGGAGCCGAACUGACGCUGAUGCUCGAAAGCGUGGGUAUCGAACAGGAUUAGAUACCCCGGUAGUC